RNAcentral lists this long non-coding RNA (210 nucleotides) under Lathyrus oleraceus (garden pea). Its description in RNAcentral is "Pisum sativum (pea) long non-coding RNA (PSAT_LNC036487)". The record is from RNAcentral. Lineage: Eukaryota; Viridiplantae; Streptophyta; Magnoliopsida; Fabales; Fabaceae.
UUGGGUUAGGGAGUGGAUAUUCAAACAAAAAUGGGAAACAAGUGGUUUUUGGUUCAGAGUCGAUGAUACCUACUAUGUUGGUUUCUUUUGUUUUUUCGCUCGGUUUUCUCUUUUUUUUUUCUAUUUUUCGACCGAGUGCCCUUUUUCGUGCUUCUUUUGAAUCUUCGAGUUUAUUUAUAAUAAUUCUUUUUCCUUUUCUCUCGAUGAUUU